This 673-nucleotide ribosomal RNA is filed under the name Escherichia coli. RNAcentral's name for it is "partial 23S ribosomal RNA". It matches the Rfam family "Bacterial large subunit ribosomal RNA", at positions 1242 to 1899 of the family's 2925-position model. The record is from RNAcentral. Lineage: Bacteria; Pseudomonadati; Pseudomonadota; Gammaproteobacteria; Enterobacterales; Enterobacteriaceae.
UGUAAGCCUGCGAAGGUGUGCUGUGAGGCAUGCUGGAGGUAUCAGAAGUGCGAAUGCUGACAUAAGUAACGAUAAAGCGGGUGAAAAGCCCGCUCGCCGGAAGACCAAGGGUUCCUGUCCAACGUUAAUCGGGGCAGGGUGAGUCGACCCCUAAGGCGAGGCCGAAAGGCGUAGUCGAUGGGAAACAGGUUAAUAUUCCUGUACUUGGUGUUACUGCGAAGGGGGGACGGAGAAGGCUAUGUUGGCCGGGCGACGGUUGUCCCGGUUUAAGCGUGUAGGCUGGUUUUCCAGGCAAAUCCGGAAAAUCAAGGCUGAGGCGUGAUGACGAGGCACUACGGUGCUGAAGCAACAAAUGCCCUGCUUCCAGGAAAAGCCUCUAAGCAUCAGGUAACAUCAAAUCGUACCCCAAACCGACACAGGUGGUCAGGUAGAGAAUACCAAGGCGCUUGAGAGAACUCGGGUGAAGGAACUAGGCAAAAUGGUGCCGUAACUUCGGGAGAAGGCACGCUGAUAUGUAGGUGAAGCGACUUGCUCGUGGAGCUGAAAUCAGUCGAAGAUACCAGCUGGCUGCAACUGUUUAUUAAAAACACAGCACUGUGCAAACACGAAAGUGGACGUAUACGGUGUGACGCCUGCCCGGUGCCGGAAGGUUAAUUGAUGGGGUUAGCGCAAG